RNAcentral lists this long non-coding RNA (243 nucleotides) under Salvia miltiorrhiza (redroot sage). Its description in RNAcentral is "long non-coding RNA (SMIL_LNC002031)". The record is from RNAcentral. Lineage: Eukaryota; Viridiplantae; Streptophyta; Magnoliopsida; Lamiales; Lamiaceae.
UAAACCUAUUAAUACGUACUUUUGGUUUUAAGCUUAUUAUUCAUGUAAUCUUUCAGCUACCUAUACCGCGAUUUGAAGGAUAUAUGGUGAAGGCAAUGAAGACAAUAUUGAGCAUAUUGGUUGAUGUACCACAUUUUGAAGAAACGAAUGAGUAACAAGUGUUAACUCAUUUGAAUCAUUGUUGUGAUAGAAUUUAUUUUGUAACGGAUAUGGUAGAAUUGAUUGGGUUGAACUUAAGUUGUA